UGUGCAUGUGGCUGCUGGCGCAUGGCCCGCGAAGGCGAUCGCGAGCGAACGCCUGCCUAUGCUGAGGAAUGGCUUCCAUCACAUCUGCUGCAUUUCUGGAUCAUAUUGUCACACUGAUUAAUGUAAUUUCCACAGGACUAGCUCCUACCCGAGCAGCUAGAGUACUUCUCUGAGAUGUGCCACCGUCGCCUGUAGUAACAGUGGGUUUGGUAGCCCUUAAGGCAGGCACAGAUGGUACUGUAGCCAGAGGUGGCCUAGCAACAUAGAUGCUUGCAACAAUAACAGCAACAUGUAGAGCAGACACUAGGGAGGACAGGAGGGCAGCAUACUGGGAAGAUGUGGCUGAGAAACCUAGAGAAGAGGUUAAGACUCAGACAAAUGCUAUAACAAGUUGAUCAGAUACUGUUGGUCAACUAUGGGUUGAUUCUUGAUGUGCCUUAUCUGCCCCGAGUUGAAGUGCACCCCCGAACGGCAAAAGAAAGACAGAUUAUGGUCUCCUCUGAAAAAGACGUGGUUCCAUCUCUAGCAUCAUCCUGACCUCAGCCAAUUACCAGGGUGAGAAAGAAGGGACUCAUGCAGACAGAGGUCAGACCGAUUAUAGACAGUGUCUGAUGCAGGGAGUUCUAUCCUCAAGAAAUCAGCCAGUCGUCAUUGUUGAAGGAAAGUAAGAACUCAAAAACUGAUACUUCUUCAGCUAUAAAGAAAAUUGUAAUAGAACGUAUUUUGUUCAAAGAUCUGUGCGUGGUAGACCUGUGGUUAAAAAUGCCCCUGUUGUCACUAUUUACAUAGCCCAUAAUGCUUCCACAAUACCUGAGGGUACUGUUGAUUUGAUGUCAGCCGUGGGCAAACACACUUCACAGAGAAAGAAUUGAAGUGGAAAGGCCAUGAAUUAUUGUACAUUACUCCAACUGAAAUAAAUAGCACAUGCGACACAAAGCAAAAGAUUCUGUAUAUUUGAAGAAAUUCUAUUGCAUUGAUGAUGGCUGACUGCCAAGAUGUUUGUCCUGAUAUUUUAAGCUUGAAGCUAUGAUGUGUCAAAAACUCUGAAAUGCCUUGUAAUGUACCGAUAUAUGAACAACUCAAACCUGAGCUGUAAACCAGUAUCUUGUCACUUUGUUAGAAUUUCCCUUGGAAUUAGUGACUUUAUUGUGAAAUUACUGAGGGUCAAUGUCUGUUUGUGUUGUGGUCAAGUAUAAUGUGUUUGAAUCUGCAGGGAUCUUUGUUUUUGUUUUUACACUGUGCAUUUAGAUAUAUAAUGAAUUACAAAUCUGUUAUUCCGCAGUGGUUUUUACAUUUACAUUGACCUGAGGCAGUAUACAAAUAAUGAAUGUUUAUAAGUACAAUGGUAAGAAUAUUUUCACGAGUGUCAUAUUUUCAAGUUCUGCUGUGGAUCACUGUUCUACCUCGUCUAAACUCGUACCAGUGCACCUCGCGUAAGACUCUAGUCGACAUACAGCAUACUGACUUUGUUUCUUCAUGUUCUUUGCGUCUGCUCUGUCAAGUAAUUCGGCAAUUUCCUCGUUAUUCAGCAACACGAAAUUGCUUGAACCCGCCGCCAUUUUAGGGAUCAUGGGCAUAACACGCUCCGUCUGUUGACCAAUUAUGUAUUGAAGCCCUUUGCGUGCAAUAGAUCAAACUGCAUAUAACCAAAAAUGCAUGGUGUGUACAACAAACUUCAACGUUUAUAACGAAGCCAUAAAAAAGUCUAUGAAAUAUCAAGGGACCUACAAUCCUCCAAUCAAAUGACAAGGAUCUACUCAGGUGUUAUAUAAAAGCUAAUAGUAGUCAAGAAUGUAAAAGGAUAACUUUAUUCAUUCUGUCCAAUUUUCUUACUGGAAAAUGUUGGCAUUACUUGUGUAUACAGUAGAAGUGAUAUGCCUUUUAAAACAAGACCCUAUAUGAACAUGUAUGCUUGUGUACACACAUGUACACAUUCAUGUAUACAUGUACAGGUUAACAUUCCUGUAACUUGGUGAUAAGAGAUGGAUCCAUUCAUGGGAUAUGAUAGUACCAGUAAUUUGUCAUCUCCUAAAUUUCAAACCAUGAAAAUCAUGCACGUUAUUGAAAUCCAGAAUUUUGUUUGCAUGCUUCCAAUGGCAUUUAGGUUACUACCGGGCAUGUUCACUUGUGUGCAGAACUUUAGAAUUCCAUUUAGUCCUGAAGAGUCUUGAGCAUUCAAUGCACAUGUACAUGUAUGUACACACAAGCUGACAUACCGGUAUCUUAGGAAUUUAAGACAACACUGCGCUAAUAGGAUGGUUUUUCUUCCUCCUCUCUCUUCAGUAUUUUACCUUUUGUAAAUGUAUUUGAAAAUUUCCUUGACAAAGCAAAUGGAACGUCUUGGCUCAUCUUCUCAAGGCCCUCUUUUGAGUUCUGUUGUGGCCUUGCAGGUGUUGUCCUGAUGAAAGGAAGCCUGUCAGCUUUUUCACUUUCUCCACAAAGUUGGCCAUUACAGCUACAUGUACAAAUGGCCACAGCCUGGUGCGUUUUCUUCUUGAGUGGAAUCCUGUCAGCUGUCUUCUAUGUGUAGUCAUUUUCCUUCUACAAGUCAGCCAUGAUAGCUGAGAGACUGAGAAUUGCUUCAGGUACAAAAAGUCUGCAGAAUUACGGCCGAUUAAUUUUGUAUGUCAUAUCCCCCAAUAGUACUCAGAACCAGUACAAAAGUAGACUUGUCACAGUCCAAAGUCAAUCCUAAAAUGUACAAUUACAAGGUACUAUGCAUCAUUACCAGCUGUGUUGGGGAAUAUUAAUGAGCCAAAGCAUGAUGUCAUCCAGGCAGAACAAUAGUGUCUCAAAAGUUCUUUGUAAACAACCACAUCACAAUUUCAUGUGCUUUAGUAAGUUUACUUCUACUUGAUAGUAAUCAGCCUGUUUUGAACAAAGUAAUAAAGACCAAUAUUUCUUCACAUCUUCA
This 2914-nucleotide long non-coding RNA is filed under the name Acanthaster planci (crown-of-thorns starfish). RNAcentral describes it as "uncharacterized LOC110987273". Lineage: Eukaryota; Metazoa; Echinodermata; Asteroidea; Valvatida; Acanthasteridae. The record is from RNAcentral.